This 120-nucleotide ribosomal RNA is filed under the name uncultured bacterium. RNAcentral's name for it is "partial 16S ribosomal RNA". It matches the Rfam family "Bacterial small subunit ribosomal RNA", at positions 215 to 334 of the family's 1533-position model. The record is from RNAcentral.
GCGGUACAGGAUGAGCAUGCGUCUGAUUAGCUAGUUGGUGGUGUAACGGACCACCAAGGCGAUGAUCAGUAGGGGAACUGAGAGGUUGAUCCCCCACACUGGCACUGAGACACGGGCCAG